Molecule: ribosomal RNA, 362 nt
Filed under: uncultured Rhodospirillales bacterium
Lineage: Bacteria; Pseudomonadati; Pseudomonadota; Alphaproteobacteria; Rhodospirillales
Description: bacterial SSU rRNA
Rfam family: Bacterial small subunit ribosomal RNA
Source: RNAcentral
AGCGAACGCUGGCGGAAUGCCUAACACAUGCAAGUCGCGCGGUUCGGCUUACGGCCGGGCAGCGGCGGACGGGUGCGCAACGCGUAGGAACGUGCCCUGGGGUGGGGGACAACGCCGGGAAACUGGCGCUAAUACCGCAUGGGGGCUGAGGCCCAAAGCCUUCGGGCGCCCUGGGAGCGGCCUGCGUCCGAUUAGCUUGUUGGGGGGUAACGGCCCACCAAGGCGACGAUCGGUAGCUGGUCUGAGAGGAUGAUCAGCCACACUGGGACUGAGACACGGCCCAGACUCCUACGGGAGGCAGCAGUGGGGAAUAUUGGACAAUGGGCGCAAGCCUGAUCCAGCAAUUCCGCGUGGGUGAAGAA